This 1145-nucleotide long non-coding RNA is filed under the name Aotus nancymaae (Ma's night monkey). RNAcentral describes it as "lncRNA (ENSANAG00000038759.1)". Lineage: Eukaryota; Metazoa; Chordata; Mammalia; Primates; Aotidae. The record is from RNAcentral.
AAAUGAACAAUAUUUUCUACAAAAGAGUCAGUCUAAUUCCUUGCUAUAUCCUUCAGAAUAGAAUAACAAUUUGCUUUAAAUUUCAGUGAUUCCUAUUUUAGCUUUUGUAUUAAUUAGGUUGACUAACUGCUGUAAACCCAAAGAAGUCAAUGACUCCAACACAAUAGAAGGUUUUUUAUUUUUGUAGUAGAAGUUUAUUUUUUUUAACUGAAUAUUUCAAGUAUUUUUAGAUGGGAGAGAGGUUGCACUCUGCUUCAAGCAGUUCUUCAGGGAAGCAGACAAGUAGAAGAUCUGCCUUCUUAAAUCCCAGAUUUCCAUGGUUGCCCUGAGAGAGAAGCACAUUUAUAAAUAAAUACAAAUCCAUAUACAAAAACUAUAACAAAUCCAUAAAGAGACAAGUGAACAAAGAAAGAUAACACGGUGUAAGAUGACAGAGGGCCAAGACAAAGCAGAGAUGCCCAGUGGGGCUAAAAGUUUCUCAGCCUCAAGCUCAAGUGACAGUGAAGGAUAAAAUACUAACCUUGAGCCACACAAAUUUGAAUCAAAAGAUGGAUGAUGGAGGUCUGAAGGCACGGACAUUCUUGCCGUGAAGUUUCAGAGCAUCACAAAUUUUUCCUAGUUUCCUUUUCAUGGAAUAUUCUUCUGUCUUGGUUCCUUUGUCGUAUAUUGAGACCUCCAAAGGACAUUUGCUCCUUUCUGCAGUAACAGGACAAGACCAGGACUCUUCAGAAUCCAGUGAGGAGGAGACAACUCCAAAAGUCUUAAGAAGGGCAGUGAGAAGCAAGCAUGGCGAGAAGGAUCCUAUGACUUCUGGAAGUAUAUCUACUUGGAGAAUACACAACAAGAAGAGACGUAAGAGCAAUUAAAAAUUCUCGAUGUAACAAAUACCCUUCUUUGCUACAAAGGCUAUGUUCCCUUUUUUUUCAUAGCCUUUAAAACAAAAAAAUUAAUUUGUUGGGAUUUUAGAUGCUUUGCAUUUUGCAUUUUCAAUUAGAUGAAUUGGGCUGGUAUAAAAUAUAAGCCUCAAAAUGUUCAAAGGCACAAGUGAAACACAAGUUUAUUUUUCACUCACAUAAAUAGGAUAAAGUAGUUCCUGAGUGGAAGGGGUGCCCACACAGUCAUUUAAGGCUCAGCUGAUGGAGGCU